This 274-nucleotide ribosomal RNA is filed under the name uncultured bacterium. RNAcentral describes it as "partial 16S ribosomal RNA". It matches the Rfam family "Archaeal small subunit ribosomal RNA", at positions 473 to 747 of the family's 1478-position model. The record is from RNAcentral.
AAACCAGCACCUCAAGUGGUCAGGAUGAUUAUUGGGCCUAAAGCAUCCGUAGCCGGCUCUGUAAGUUUUCGGUUAAAUCCACUAGCUCAACUAGUGGGCUGCCGAAAAUACUGUAGAACUAGGGAGUGGGAGAGGUAGACGGUAUUCGGUAGGAAGGGGUAAAAUCCUUUGAUCUAUUGAGGACCACCUGUGGCGAAGGCGGUCUACCAGAACACGUUCGACGGUGAGGGAUGAGAGCUGGGGGAGCAAACCGGAUUAGAAACCCGAGUAGUCC